GGGGAAUAUUGCACAAUGGGCGCAAGCCUGAUGCAGCGACGCCGCGUGAGGGAUGACGGCCUUCGGGUUGUAAACCUCUUUCAGUACAGACGAAGCGCAAGUGACGGUAUGUACAGAAGAAGCACCGGCCAACUACGUGCCAGCAGCCGCGGUAAUACGUAGGGUGCGAGCGUUGUCCGGAAUUACUGGGCGUAAAGAGCUCGUAGGUGGUUUGUCGCGUUGUUCGUGAAAACCUGAGGCUUAACCUCGGGCGUGCGGGCGAUACGGGCAGACUGGAGUACUGCAGGGGAGACUGGAAUUCCUGGUGUAGCGGUGGAAUGCGCAGAUAUCAGGAGGAACACCGGUGGCGAAGGCGGGUCUCUGGGCAGUAACUGACGCUGAGGAGCGAAAGCGUGGGGAGCGAAC
RNAcentral lists this ribosomal RNA (405 nucleotides) under uncultured bacterium. RNAcentral's name for it is "bacterial SSU rRNA". It matches the Rfam family "Bacterial small subunit ribosomal RNA", at positions 356 to 773 of the family's 1533-position model. The record is from RNAcentral.